This 239-nucleotide unclassified non-coding RNA is filed under the name Hevea brasiliensis (rubber tree). The record is from RNAcentral. Lineage: Eukaryota; Viridiplantae; Streptophyta; Magnoliopsida; Malpighiales; Euphorbiaceae.
AGGGAAUUGGGAAGGGGCUGCAAUGGGCGAACAAAACCUUUCGCAUGCCUAAACUCACUAAGUCACUUGAUGAUUUCAUUUGGCUUCGUCAUGUUGAGGAACCGGGGGUGUCUUCAGAGGUUUCCGAUGCCCCCUCUUGGCCUCAACCUCGUUACCCAGAACUAUCUGGCAUAGACUUGUUUAUGGCUGAUGUCGAAGCAUUGGAGACAUAUCUUAAUUAUUUCUACUGCAUAUCUAAG